Long non-coding RNA from Ictalurus punctatus (channel catfish), 1916 nucleotides. NCBI's taxonomy places the organism in Eukaryota, Metazoa, Chordata, Actinopteri, Siluriformes, Ictaluridae. The record is from Ensembl.
UACGCCUAAGUGUCCUUGGGCAAGACACUGAACCCCAAAUUCCUCCUAAUGUCAAGUUAGCACCUUGCGUGGCAGCUCUGCUACCACUGGUGUGUGUGUGUGUGUGUGUGUGUGUGUGUGUGAAUGGGUGAAUGAGAACCAGUGUAAAGCGCUUUAGAACCAUAGGGGUUAAGAAAGUGCAGACCAUUUCCCAUGCUUUUCUGUGAUAUAAUGGAUAUUCUGAUAUCCUUGGGUUAAAAAAAAAAAAAUUACAAAUUGUUAAAAGUAUUUAAAAUUAGAAGUGAAUAGAAGUAGUUAGAAGUUAGUAGUAGUUAGAAGUAGAAGUGGUAGAAGUGAAUAGAAGUAGAAGUAGUUAGAAGUAGAAGUGAAUAGCAGUAGUUAGAAUUAGAAGUAGUUAGAAGUGAAUAGAAGUAGGUAGAAGGGAACAGAAGUAGUUAGAAGUAGAAGUGAGUAGAAGUGAAUAGAAGUAGUUAGAAGUAGUAGUGAAUAGAAGUAAGAAGAAAUCGGUAGAAGUAGUCAGAAGUAGAAGUGGAUAGAAGUCGAAGUAGUUAGAAGUGAGUAGAAGUAGUUAGAUGUGGUUAAAAGUGAAUAGAAGUGAGUAGAAGUAGUUAGAUGUGGUUCGAAUUGAAUAGAAGCAGUUAGAAGUAGAAGUGAAUAAAAGUAAAUAGAAGUAGGUAGAUGUGAAUAGAACUGGUUAGAAGUAGAAGUGAAUAGAAGUAGUUAGAAAGUAGGAAUAGUUAGAAGUAAGUAGAAGUGAAUAGAAGUAGAAGUGAAUAGAAGUAGUUAGAAGUAAAUGGAAGUGAGUAGAAGUGAGUAGAAGUAGAAGUAGUUAGUAGAAGUGAGUAGAAGUGAAUAGAAGUAGAAGUGAAUAGAAGUAGAAGUGAGUAGAAGUGAGUAGAAGUAGUUAGUAGAAGUGAAUAGAAGUAGAAGUGAGUAGAAGUAGUAAGUAGAAGUGAGUAGAAGUUAGUAGAAGGGAGAAGUAGAAGUGAGUAGAAGGGAGUAGAAGUAGAAGUGAGUAGAAGUAGAAGUGAAUAGAAGUAGAAGUGAGUAGAAGUAGAAGUACUUAGUAGAAGUGAGUAGAAGUAGAAGUAGUUAGUAGAAGUGAGUAGAAGUAGAAGUAGUUAGUAGAAGUGAGUAGAAGUAGUGAGUAGAAGUGAAUAGAAGUAGAAGUGAGUAGAAGUGAAUAGAAGUAGAAGUGAGUAGAAGUAGAAGUAGUUAGAAGAAGUGAUUAGAUGGCAAGAUGUUGGACCUAAUGAUUAAAAUAAUUUGCUUGUAUGUGUGUUUUAGUGGCGCUCUGCUGCACUGUUGUACCGGCAGUAAUGCACAGACCUGUGUUCGUCAGGAGGCGUAUGGUAGAAAUACCUUCCAGAAUCAUGAUAUAUUUCAUAUCUCUCGCCCUCACACCUGGAAGCGAGUUGCACUUGUAUCCUCACAUGUAGAUAAUCCCUAAAUGUCCUGGCGCAGAGCUUCAGAACCUCCUCCUGGACUCUGUCAUGGUCAGAUUGACAGCUUUGUGCUGGGCCUGUCUCUGUGAUGAAGACGGAGACUGCUCGCUCCUCUGAGCGUGUUCCUGGAGCUCGGCGGUUCACGCCGGAGUGCUUUAGUUCUCUCGUUAAACCCCAGACGUCGCCUGAGCGGCGUAAACGUCAGUCCCCUGCCCCGCGUGACCCUGUAAGGCGCACGAGCGCGCCGAGCCGAGAUGUGGUGGAAGAGCCGCUGUAUUCUUUACUAGCUCUGGAACCGGAGCCUUGGCUUCUCGCGGCAGGUUAUACGGACACGACGCAGAGUCUCGGAGAGACUUUAUUGUACUUUUGUGUCCCGGAGCGCAUGCCUUGGUCUACUUCCUCUGACUAAAAAAAAUUUUUUUUUUUAAAUAAACGUGAUAUUUAAAAAUAUAUAUAUAUUUUGGAUGAUGC